Molecule: long non-coding RNA, 388 nt
Organism: Pecten maximus
Lineage: Eukaryota; Metazoa; Mollusca; Bivalvia; Pectinida; Pectinidae
Exons: 2
Source: RefSeq, a predicted model, not a curated record
UCAAGUGCCCCGCAUUUUGCGGGUCACACCCGGAUAAUCGGUCUAUAACCCGCAGACAGAAAUAGCUCCUGACGGGUGUUUUGAAUCUCCCGCAUUUCAGUAAGAUCUCGUUUUUGUUCGAGCUACCUCGGAUUUUUUCUUUGUUGCGUAGGAACACAAUUUGAGACACCGAACAGAUAAUCCAACAACAACCAAAAUGGCGUGUACGAAGGCUUGCACAGAUGAAUAUUUUUGAAGGAAUGAAAUACUGAUUGCUGUGAUUAUCAACCUUCCACCAAUGUUUUGAAGAUGGCAAAAACAGCUACAACAACUUACAAUGUAAAACAUUCAUGUAAAUGAAUGAAGUGUGCAUAGAAAUGCUUAUUAAAUGACACAUGUUGAUAAAUUU